This 315-nucleotide ribosomal RNA is filed under the name Triticum aestivum (bread wheat). Its description in RNAcentral is "partial small subunit ribosomal RNA". Lineage: Eukaryota; Viridiplantae; Streptophyta; Magnoliopsida; Poales; Poaceae. The record is from RNAcentral.
AUGUGGGGAAAAAAGAUCCCAAGUCUCGUUGAAAUAUUUACGGUUUCCGUGUUGAAUUGUGGUCAAUACAAAUCCUGGACCUCAAGUCUUGUUGGAAGUCUAUGUUUCUGUGGAAAAAUGAGGCAGUGGGUGCAGCUUGUGGAAUUCAAAACAUGUAGAACGAUGGAUUCACCUUUUUGUAAUUCACCUUUUUGUAAUCAGUCAAACGAUGGAUUACAAAACUUGAGAAAUAUAUUCAGGCACAUGCCGGAUCUCUUUUCCUUUCAAUUUUCAAAGCUCCCAUACGGUGAAGCAAUUGGUGACCUUGCAUUGUAG